Carassius carassius (crucian carp) is the source of this 1487-nucleotide long non-coding RNA. RefSeq lists it as uncharacterized. The record is from RefSeq and is a predicted model, not a curated record. Lineage: Eukaryota; Metazoa; Chordata; Actinopteri; Cypriniformes; Cyprinidae. The transcript is spliced from 3 exons.
GGGCCCGCCAUGGGCCUAACUCGGGAACAGGGGUCCACCAAGGCAGAGCAGGUGGUGUGGGAGGCCACCAGAGUGGAGCAGGUGGAGCUGGAGCCCACCAGGGCGGAGCAGAGGACCACCACAGCCGAGAAGACGGGACAGAAGCCCACCAGGGCGGAGCAGAGGACCACCACAGUUGAGAAGACAGGACAGAAGCCCACCAGGGAAGAGCAGAGGACCACCAUAGCUGAGCAGACGGGACAGAAGCCCACCAAGGCAGUGCAGAGGACCACCACAGCCGAGUAGAUGGGCCAAAGGACCACCACAGCUGCACAGGAGAGCAAGUCUGCUCAGGUGGGACUGAAACAGAGUUAAUGUUAACAUAAACUGGCAAGCCUCCAUUACACCUACUCAGCACCCAUCUUUCUUGCACUAAUCACAACACAUUACAUGACCGCUCGUUUACCUCCGGAGCGCAAGCCCGAGCCUGCCCCGAGCCCGUGUAAGAUGAUAUAAAUUAAGCCCGAACCCGUCGGGUCCCAUCGGGUCCCGUCGGGUUCAGGCAAAGAUCUUGAGCUCUAACCCAGUUGCCAUGCUGCAAUGGGUCUGUUGCCGGAACCGAACAAUGUACCGGACUCCCUGAGCUAGAUGCAUCCAAUGCCGUAUCUAGAGCCCUCACAUUCUUACUGUCCUCAAUUAAAGUUUGGAUGCGUGUCUCUAAUUCUGAAAUCUUUUCUGUCAGCCUAUUUCCCUGCAUUUAUCACAUGUGAAUCCCUCGUCGCCAACGGAGACAGAUAAACUAUACAUGUGGCAAGCGGUCCAAAUAACAAUAGCAGGAGAAGCCAUUACUCACCGUGCUUGAUGAAAGAUUCUUACCACAGUUGUUAGAUGAAUUUGUGGAAAACCGGAGCGAGAGAGUAGCAAGAGAGAGGAGAGGAGAAAGGAAAGAAAACAGCAAUAGGCACAAAUGGAAACGCUAAUGACAAGCUAACGAAUGCUAAUGCGAUGCAGGUGCACUGUACUCUCGGAUUUAGAAUAAAAGCGAACAAUCAAAUUAAUCAGUCUAGAUUGAUAGAUAAUAUCAGAAAUAUGGUGGGAAUUAAGUUAUAUUUUAUCACUUUAAACAACAGAGAGUGAUAGUAAGAAAGAGAUUCUACAGAAAAACGAAGCUACACGGAGCUACGAUCACAAAAGAGCAGCAAAGGAAGCAGGAAUAACACUGUCCAACAGCAGGUAUAGUAGUAGUAGUAUGGCAGUAUGGCAUUUCUAACACAGCACACGUAUAUAUAUCAGGCAUCAUGUAAGGCGACGUACAUUGAGACAACGUAUAUUUCAGGCCUUAUGUCAUAAGGUACUUGUAAGGUGACAGACCUAGUUCAGACGUACUUAGUAUAUAUACCAUUUUUGAUUCAUUUCUUACAUACACUGCUGUCAUGUCGACGCCUAUGAUUGGUUCCAACAGUGAUGUCUCCACAGGUCUGUCGUCUGCCUACAAUCCCAUUCAAAAA